RNAcentral lists this non-coding RNA (294 nucleotides) under Pongo abelii (Sumatran orangutan). Lineage: Eukaryota; Metazoa; Chordata; Mammalia; Primates; Hominidae. The record is from RNAcentral.
CAACCGGGAAACCACAUACCAUGGACAGUGCUCGGGGAAUUUCGGCUCCUCCUCAUCCCUGGGGGUUCCAGGGAUCUGGCAGAGAAAGAAGCCCAGUCUUACAGCAAUGACUCCUGAACAUCCUUUGCAAACACUAUUUAGGACAGAUGGACCGAAGUAGGCCCUGGGGAGAGUUGGGGGCAUUUCGGGAGGGAACAUCCCAAAACUCAGCAGAGGGGGAGAGGGAGCUUUUGUUGGUCGCCUGGAACCACUACCAAUCCAUGUUCAUGUCAAAUUAAAUGAUCACUUUGAAAU